GAUGAAGAACGUAGCGAAAUGCGAUAAGUAAUGUGAAUUGCAGAAUUCAGUGAAUCAUCGAAUCUUUGAACGCACAUUGCGCCCGCCAGUAUUCUGGCGGGCAUGCCUGUUCGAGCGUCAUUUCAACCAUCAAGCCCCAGGCUUGUGUUGGGGACCUGCGGCUGCCGCAGGCCCUGAAAACCAGUGGCGGGCUCGCUGUCACACCGGGCGUAGUAGAUUUUAUCUCGCUCAGGGCGUGCUGCGGGUUCCGGCCGUUAAAAAGCCUUUUUUACCCAAGGUUGACCUCGGAUCAGGUAGGAAGACCCGCUGAACUUAAGCAUAACAAUAAGCGGAGGA
RNAcentral lists this unclassified non-coding RNA (336 nucleotides) under soil metagenome. RNAcentral's name for it is "partial contains 5.8S ribosomal RNA, internal transcribed spacer 2, and large subunit ribosomal RNA". The stretch from base 1 to 120 matches the Rfam family "5.8S ribosomal RNA", at positions 35 to 154 of the family's 154-position model. The record is from RNAcentral.